RNAcentral lists this transfer RNA (67 nucleotides) under Onthophagus rhinolophus. RNAcentral's name for it is "tRNA-Thr". Lineage: Eukaryota; Metazoa; Arthropoda; Insecta; Coleoptera; Scarabaeidae. The record is from RNAcentral.
GUUUUAAUAAUUUAUAAACCAAAAUAUUGGUCUUGUAAACCAAAAAAAAGAAUUUUCUUUUAAAACU